RNAcentral lists this transfer-messenger RNA (335 nucleotides) under Clostridia bacterium. It matches the Rfam family "transfer-messenger RNA". Rfam says of the family: Bacterial tmRNA, also known as 10Sa RNA or SsrA, is named for its dual tRNA and mRNA-like properties. Its role is to liberate the mRNA from a stalled ribosome. The record is from RNAcentral. Lineage: Bacteria; Bacillati; Bacillota; Clostridia.
GACAGAGGUGGUCCUGACUGUGGGCGAGCCGGGGUUGCUGCUAGCCCGUAAAACUGGCAAAGGCAUAACAGCCGACAGAAACAGUUACGCUCUGGCUGCCUAGACAGCCAGCAUCCUGCCUGCUUCAGCCUGCGUAGCAGGGUCAGGGUGUCAUUUAGUGGGCUUACCUAACAGCUGACGCCCGUAAGCUGACAGGGAAAUUUAACGGGAUAGCUCCAGCGGAGCCUGGCAAUGGGCGCCAAACGGAGCGAAAUCUAAAUCACUGCCUACGCUCGUAGCUGGCCUCAUGUGGUCGUUCUUUCGGACGGUGGGUUCGACUCCCCCCGCCUCCACCA